RNAcentral lists this small RNA (112 nucleotides) under Marmota monax (woodchuck). Lineage: Eukaryota; Metazoa; Chordata; Mammalia; Rodentia; Sciuridae. The record is from RNAcentral.
AGGCAUGGUGGCAUGUGCCUAUAAUCUCAACUACUUGGAAGCUCAGAUAAGAGGACUGCUUGAGCCCAGGAGUUUGGGUCCAGCUGGCCAACACAAUGAGACCUUGUCUCUU